RNAcentral lists this transfer RNA (108 nucleotides) under Nitrososphaerota archaeon. RNAcentral describes it as "Thaumarchaeota archaeon tRNA-Glu". It matches the Rfam family "tRNA". From Rfam's summary of the family: Transfer RNA (tRNA) molecules are approximately 80 nucleotides in length. Their secondary structure includes four short double-helical elements and three loops (D, anti-codon, and T loops). Further hydrogen bonds mediate the characteristic L-shaped molecular structure. tRNAs have two regions of fundamental functional importance: the anti-codon, which is responsible for specific mRNA codon recognition, and the 3' end, to which the tRNAs corresponding amino acid is attached (by aminoacyl-tRNA synthetases). tRNAs cope with the degeneracy of the genetic code in two manners: having more than one tRNA (with a specific anti-codon) for a particular amino acid; and 'wobble' base-pairing, i.e. permitting non-standard base-pairing at the 3rd anti-codon position. The record is from RNAcentral. Lineage: Archaea; Thermoproteati; Nitrososphaerota.
GCUCCGGUGGUGUAGCCCGGCCUUGAUUUCGCUGAAAAGUCGGAAUCUAACGGAAAAGCAUAGUGGCCUCUCGAGUCACUGACCCGGGUUCAAAUCCCGGCCGGAGCA